AUGGCUACCCUCUUCAAAUCUUCUGGGUACACAUACAAAAACAUCGAAAAUUUUGAGUGCAUUUCUCCUGAGGACUACCCCCAGCAAAACAACCUCCACAAUUGUGCUCUGUAUGCUAUCAUGUACAUGGAUAUCUGGGAUGGGAAGAACAUGAAGGAAUUUGAUGAUAAAUUAUUCCUCAAUUUCGGCAGCUCGUUGCUUACAAAUUGGCAAAGUCUGACAUCAAUGAAGAAGACUUCGAGCGACUUCAAGAAGAUGUUUCAAGCAAGAAGAGGAAAAAGCGCCGUUAGUUCUGUGCAGAAAGAAAACACUUCCAGCUUCUAA
This 324-nucleotide ribosomal RNA is filed under the name Triticum aestivum (bread wheat). RNAcentral's name for it is "partial small subunit ribosomal RNA". Lineage: Eukaryota; Viridiplantae; Streptophyta; Magnoliopsida; Poales; Poaceae. The record is from RNAcentral.